CAUCACCAGCAGAUUUACUCAGCCUCCGUGAGGGGCUUGCGAGCUAAGAAGAAGUACAUAGAUGUGAAAAUCUCUUUCCUGAAGAUGAAGGCUUGUGUCAGGCAUCAGAGGAGGAAAUAUGAAAACAGAGAGAGGAAAACAGAAAUUGACACUUUGGAUAUCUAUAGAGAGGGGGGAGGUAAUAUUGUUUAUUUUGAUGGAUUGAUUCAUUUUGAACUUAUUUCAUC
Salvia splendens (bonfire salvia) is the source of this 227-nucleotide long non-coding RNA. RefSeq lists it as uncharacterized. The record is from RefSeq and is a predicted model, not a curated record. The transcript is spliced from 2 exons. Lineage: Eukaryota; Viridiplantae; Streptophyta; Magnoliopsida; Lamiales; Lamiaceae.